CCUACGGGUGGCAGCAGUGGGGAAUAUUGCUCAAUGGGGGAAACCCUGAUGCAGCAACGCCGCGUGAGUGAGGAAGUAUUUCGGUAUGUAAAGCUCUAUCAGCAGGGAAUCGAACAGAAGGUACCUGAAAAAGAAGCCCAGGCUAACUACGGGCCAGCAGCCGCGGUAAUACGUAGGGGGCAAGCGUUAUACGGAUUUACUGGGUGUAAAGGGAGGGUAGACGGAAAGGCAAGUCAGAAGUGAAAACACAAGGCUCAACCAUGGGACUGCUUUUGAAACUGUCAAACUAGAGUACGGGAGGGGUAAGAGGAAUUCCUAGUGUAGCAGUGAAAUGCGUAGAUAUUAGGAGGAACACCAGUGGCGAAGGCGGCUUACUGGACCGAAACUGACGUUGAGGCACGAAAGCGUGGGGAGCAAACGGGAUUAGAUACCCGGGUAGUC
This 441-nucleotide ribosomal RNA is filed under the name uncultured bacterium. Its description in RNAcentral is "partial 16S ribosomal RNA". It matches the Rfam family "Bacterial small subunit ribosomal RNA", at positions 338 to 795 of the family's 1533-position model. The record is from RNAcentral.